RNAcentral lists this long non-coding RNA (528 nucleotides) under Malus domestica (apple). RNAcentral describes it as "long non-coding RNA (MDOM_LNC018848)". Lineage: Eukaryota; Viridiplantae; Streptophyta; Magnoliopsida; Rosales; Rosaceae. The record is from RNAcentral.
UCAACCAACACACACAAAUCAAUGUAAUUCACAUAGAUAAGUAAAUUGAAUUCACAAUUUAUGAAACGCAAUUAGAAGUAAUCAAAUCAUAUCGCAAGCAUAAACAUGUAUUUCGAAUCCCCCCCUAGCCAAGGGGGGGUUUAGUUCCUCAUACACACAAAACAAAGAGAAUUGAAUUUAAACAUUGAAACCAAAGGAAAAGAAACACCUAGAAAUUCCAGCGACGCGAACUUGAAUUGCAUGAACUUCCAAGCUUCCUUCUCCUCCUCCUUGGUGCGGCAAGGACCUUGGACAGGUUCUUUGGGGUUAUGGAUGGCGUAGAAUGGAUGGGGGAUGUGUGAUGGUGUUUAGGGUUGAUGGGUGGUGCGGCUAGGGAUGAUUUUGGGCAGAAAAUAUGGAAUAUGGUGGUGGAAAGGUGCGGCAGAAAUCAAGGUUUAAUUUCUGGCGUGAAUGGUUAUGUAUGAGAGGUGGUGAUCUGAUCUAGGGGUUAAUAUGAGUAUAUAUAGGCACUUAAAACCCUAGGGUAAU